This 543-nucleotide ribosomal RNA is filed under the name uncultured bacterium. Its description in RNAcentral is "bacterial SSU rRNA". It matches the Rfam family "Bacterial small subunit ribosomal RNA", at positions 8 to 526 of the family's 1533-position model. The record is from RNAcentral.
AGAGUUUGAUCCUGGCUCAGAAUCAACGCUGGCGGCGUGCCUCAGACAUGCAAGUCGAACGCGAAACCUUCCUUCGGGAGGGGAGUAGAGUGGCGCACGGGUGAGUAACACGUAGGUAAUCUACCUCUGGGUGGGGAAUAACAGCCGGAAACGGCUGCUAAUACCGCAUAAUGCAGCGGCUCGACAUCGAGACAGUUGUUAAAGCGGGGGCUGGCUUCGGCCACCUCGCGCCUGAAGAGGAGCCUGCGGCAGAUUAGCUAGUUGGCAGGGUAAUGGCCUACCAAGGCGACGAUCUGUAACCGGCCUGAGAGGGCGGUCGGUCACACUGACACUGACAUACGGGUCAGACUCCUACGGGAGGCAGCAGUCGGGAAUUUUGGGCAAUGGGCGAAAGCCUGACCCAGCAACGCCGCGUGAAGGAUGAAAUCCCUCGGGAUGUAAACUUCGUAAGAACAGGAAGAAUAAGUAGAAGCCAAUACCUUCUAUGAUGACGGUACUGUUUGUAAGCUCCGGCUAACUCCGUGCCAGCAGCGGCGGUAAUUC